AAUAUUAUGAUGAUUAUCAUUACCGCCCCAGUCUGAACCCUGUGACUGAUUGGUGAUGCUGACUAAC
Anthonomus grandis grandis is the source of this 67-nucleotide small nucleolar RNA. The record is from RefSeq and is a predicted model, not a curated record. Lineage: Eukaryota; Metazoa; Arthropoda; Insecta; Coleoptera; Curculionidae.